This is a long non-coding RNA of Mytilus trossulus (common blue mussel), 409 nucleotides long. RefSeq lists it as uncharacterized. The record is from RefSeq and is a predicted model, not a curated record. Lineage: Eukaryota; Metazoa; Mollusca; Bivalvia; Mytilida; Mytilidae. The transcript has 3 exons.
AUGUUUGGUAAAUGUCAAGGGAAAUUGAAAUAUAAAGUAUAUAAAUUGUAAAUUUUCAUAUAUUUCAGGUUUUUUUUUGUGAGAUUUUUUCAUGGUGUGGGAAUAAGACUUGGAGGUCUAAUACAGCUAGUAUAUAGAUUAGCAUCAGCUUGUCUGUAAGGAUUGAGGCUGAGAAUGGCCAUUGGAGCUGACUAAUAUGGUGACUUCAACUGUGGCUGCAGGAAAUUAUUGUGCAAUACAACUGAAACCAAAAAGAAUGUAAUUCAGACUAUUUUUGUGUAUGUUUUGAAAAAUGUUCAUAUUUUUUUACCAAAAAAAAAAUUUAAAAAUUGUAAAGAUUCUCCAUUUUCAACAAAGCUGGAAGUUGUUGGCUAAAUUGAUACUUCACAAUUUUCCGAUUUUACUUUUA